Molecule: ribosomal RNA, 497 nt
Filed under: uncultured bacterium
Lineage: Bacteria
Description: partial 16S ribosomal RNA
Rfam family: Bacterial small subunit ribosomal RNA
Source: RNAcentral
GACGAACGCUGGCGGCGUGCCUAAUACAUGCAAGUUGAGCGCUGAAGGUUGGUACUUGUACCAACUGGAUGAGCAGCGAACGGGUGAGUAACGCGUGGGGAAUCUGCCUUUGAGCGGGGGACAACAUUUGGAAACGAAUGCUAAUACCGCAUAAAACCUUUAAACACAAGUUUUAAGUUUGAAAGAUGCAAUUGCAUCACUCAAAGAUGAUCCCGCGUUGUAUUAGCUAGUUGGUGAGGUAAAGGCUCACCAAGGCGAUGAUACGUAGCCGACCUGAGAGGGUGAUCGGCCACAUUGGGAAUGAGACACGGCCCAAACUCCCACGGGAGGCAGCAGUAGGGAAACUUCGGCAAUGGACGAAAGUCUGACCGAGCAACGCCGCGUGAGGGAAGAAGGGUUUCGGAUCGUAAAACGCUGUUUGUAGGGAAGAACGUUGGUGAGAGUGGAAAGCUCAUCAAGUGACGGUAACUACACAGAAAGGGACGGCUAACUACGUG